GGAAGCGCGAUGGGAUCCACGAUCCAGGAGCCCACCAUGGUCUUGCUCACUCCUUGCUGCUUCCCCACCUCUGCCCCAGCUGCAGAACCCCCUGCCCUCCCGGUCCCUGCUGGAAAAGGCGGAAUGCUGAGCUGAGCUGGAUGCUGAUCCCCUCUCCAGAAAGCAGAGCUGUGUGCCAUUCGUGAUUUUGGAGGUUUUAUUAAGCAAACUCUUUACAAAGUCAUCCUGUACAGAGUGACCUCGCAGUCCUGAUUUAAAAACGAGCUGAGGGACGCCCCUGCCCCGCGGAGCCGGGUGGGAACGGGGCUGGGCUGCUCCUUUCCCCCAUAAAUAAAAGAGCUUAUUCUGUUCCUGCCUCCCGCUAUUUACAGGGGUUCCUGUGCUGGGAUUCCACGAGUGCCAGCAGGGAACCGAUACCAGGAGGCUGAGCUGAAAUGUAGCGUGGGCCUGAACAGCAACGACCACGUGGAAAAGGGAUUUGUUCUCAUUCCUCAUCUUCAAGUACACUUUGGGAAAUUCAUUUGCCUGCUCCAACGGCAGCUGCACGAAAAACCUUCAAACCGCUCCAAUAAUUUACCUGUACCGUUUAAAAAGAACUUUCCUAUGUGAGACUGGACGGCAGGGAAUGAAUCCCCUGAGGGUUUGCAUUUCCCACCUUUAAAUAAGAUUUAUGUACAGAGCUAAACCCGACUUUCCCCCACCCCCAGCAGGGACUGGGAUGGAUGGUGGGGACCCACUGGGAUUGUUGGGAUCCACUGGGUUGGGUGGUGGGGAUCCAUUGGGAUGGUGGGGAUGUCCCCCACAGGACCGGGGUGCCCAAACUGGUGCCACAGGGCCUGGGGAGGAGCCGUGUCCUGGUGGCUUCACUUUGUCACCUGCAACACAGAGCCGUGGCCCAGGUCAGUGCCCGGCACCCUCUGGGCAGUGCCCGGCACCCUCUGGGCAGUGCCCCCAGGGCCAGGCCUGGAGCUUUUCCCGUUUUCCAGGCGUGGCUCUGCUGGAUCCAGCUGCAGGAAUCCCAGGGCUGGCUGGCAGAUCCCACAGCCGGCACUUUGGGACAGCCCUGCCCUGCUGUGGGAUCCCAGCUCCCUGCCGGCCACCCCGCAGCCAGCCCUGAGCUGCUCCCGGCGUUCUGGGAUCAAUCCCAGGCUUUCCCCUCUUACCAGUAGCUUCUUCUGAAGGGAGCGGCCACUUGCUGCACUGUCGCGAGGAAGGUGGAGAUGUCAGCCACCAGAAUUCCUUUGCUUUCCAGCAUCUCCCUGCAGCUGCUGCUGGGGUUUUCUGCAAGGGGAGGAGCAGCAGCUCCGUUAAUUCCAACAAAGGAAGCUGUUCCUAAACCUGUGGGAAAUAUCCCUAAACCCCACCGUGGCCGCUCUGCUGCUCUGCCAGCACCCUCAGCCACCCACGGCUCCAAAAACCGCCAAACACCCCAAAUUCCCUUUCAGCAGCCACAGCUGCAAGAAGCAAUUCCCACAGCAGCAGAACAGGGAUUUUUCACCCCUCCCAGCCCUCUCCAGGCCCUGUCAGAGCGCAGGGCGGGGAUGCCCCACCUGUGAGGAACACGGCGAAGCGGGCGCGGACGUGCUGCGCCUGCAGCCCCAGCAGGCACUGGGCGCGCCGGGGCUCGGCCGCCGCGUCGCAGCCGUGGAAGGGCAGCAGCUCCAGCAGCUCUGCCCCCUGGCACCACCUCAGCAGCUGCUGCUUCCUCUGCGCGCUGCCAUCGGCCCUGCUGAGAGAGGGGCACGGCUCAGGGAGUGAGCAGGCAGGGUGGGAUUCGCCUUUCCAGGAGGAUUUUCCAGCCCCACCGGUGAUUUCUGGAUCCAAAGUGGAAAAUUCCCGCCUGCCCCAGCGCUGCCUGUGCUGCUUUGGCCUGGGGUUGGUUCGUUUUUGUCUCAGGGGCUGAUGUGGGGUUUGUGCUGGGAGCUGUGGUGGGUCAGGGGGGUUCUGCUGCUGCUGGAGCCGGGUUUGGAGAGCCAAGGCUGCUCUCACUCACCCACGGCCUGCGGGCACGAGGGCAGGACAGGCUGUGCCACUGUGAGUGCCACUGCCCCAGGGGUGUUCCAGAGCCUGGACAGGCUCAGGAUACAAAGCUGGGAGGAGGAGAAGGAAGAGGGGAUGUUGGGAGAGGUGGUGAGGAUGGAGCCUGCUCUCCUGGGGAUGGCCUGGGAU
Molecule: long non-coding RNA, 2169 nt
Filed under: Junco hyemalis (dark-eyed junco)
Lineage: Eukaryota; Metazoa; Chordata; Aves; Passeriformes; Passerellidae
Description: lncRNA (ENSJHYG00000017396.1)
Source: RNAcentral